Thunnus maccoyii (southern bluefin tuna) is the source of this 2481-nucleotide long non-coding RNA. RefSeq lists it as uncharacterized. Lineage: Eukaryota; Metazoa; Chordata; Actinopteri; Scombriformes; Scombridae. The transcript is spliced from 3 exons. The record is from RefSeq and is a predicted model, not a curated record.
CACGUGCAGACACACAUGCAGACGCAAACACACAAGACUUACGCCAUGCCUGGUGCCAUGUAUUUCACUGGCCCUGAAGUGUCUCCGGGGGCCCUCGGAGGUUCUGGGGCCGGUCCUUACAGCAGAGAGGUCUGAAACGCUGACAUGCAGGCCGGGGUCCGCUGGGAACACCGGCCUCGGCUCCUGUUACCGCCGGAGGGUCAGAGGUCAAAUGGAGGAGCCUACCUGAUGAACUGAAGAGAUCAAAACACAAAGCAAGUGUGAUGUUGGACAUUUCACAACCUAGUAACCCAAAGAUGUUUCUCAACAAUGGCUUAUAACUUAUCUAGAAAGCAUCAGUAAAUGAUUUUUUAUCCUUAAGGCAUCAGUGGUACCUGGUAACCUAAUAGACAUGAUACGUCUGUUUCAGUAAUCUGAUUUGAAAUCUGUGGUUCUGCAUCUUCAGAAACAUAACAAAUAUAUGAUAUAUAAAGUAAAAUAUGUAAUUUAUCAUUAAAUACAGGUUGCAUGCAGGUUCUAAAGCUUUAAGAAUGUUAUUUUGUGAUUUCAGUUCAUGUUCAUGCAGUUUUCUUAUUAUGACAUUAUCCAUUCUGACCUUAAGCUGUGAUAGAUACACAUAAUUUUGUGAAAACAUAGAUGGAGAGCAAUUUUGCCAUUAAAGACAGAAAAACAGACACCAAUUUUGACACAGCUUUUUUCCCCCCCUCUCUCUCCUUCUACCUCCAUUCCCAGCAUUAGUUCCUGUUGUCAGCCCUUAUUACUUGCUGCAGAAAACACAUUUCCACAGGCGCAGAAUAUGUCAUCGGUGUACCAUUAUGGUCUUUAGAGGUGAGGCGGCAGGCAGGGGCAGAAAAUAAACAGUAGUAAACAACAGUAGCAGUGGGGAGUGGGCUUCCCUGCUGUGUUGAUUAUUGGAGGACUGUAAACAGGCCUGAUCCCCCCCUCCCGGGAGCUCACCGAGCGGGAACGGCUGCUGCUGGCUGCCCACAGAGAGGCCAACAACAUCUGGACCUCAGCUCAGCUCGGCUCACCUCAUCACGCUCCUGUUGUUUGUGGCGGAGUGGUGUGUUUGUGCAUCUGCGCUGGGAGAAAAAAAACAAAAAAAAAAACAGAUAGCAGCAACAAGCAAUCGGUAGUAAUUUUGAAAAGAAUGCAGUAAUUUGGGGUAAAAAUGUGAACCUGGACGUAUUAGAGAAGCAUGAGGAAAUAGUCUGCUUUUGUGUUGAGAGUUAAUAUGUGUAAAUAUGUGUGUGUGUGUAAUCAAAUUCUGAAAUUUUGGCACACCGAGUGCAGUUUCAUUGUAGAUUUUCACACACCUGAAUACGCUUGAGUGAAAUCAGCAGUGGAACAUAUUGCCUGGUUAUGAUUUUUAAUAAAAAAAAGCCCAGCCACAUGCCUUAAAUUAUAGUCAACAUUUGCAUUUCUCUGAAUGACAUGAUGUUUGUAGUUAUUCCUGAGCCAAACCUGUGCAAAUUCAGCGUGGAGGCUGUUGCCAGAGUUUGCAAAUCAGUUAUUUACUCAAGCAAGUGGAUUUGCUCGAAGGCAUUUUGGCAAAAAUAGACUCAAGUAUAUUCAUUAAUUAUGUAUUUCUUGAACUGAAGGACAAUGAGAUUCUGUCUGAAAUGGCAGCGAGCCAGUUGGACACAUGUUUUCUAAUGGCUGCUGGUGAAGGGACAGUGUGUUUGUGUUGUUUAUUAACUGUCUUGUAGCUCCCUCUGCUGGUAGAAUGUGGCCGUAGUGAAAUAUGCAAAAACUACAGGAAGUAGUUGGUAAAACACAGUUGGAAACUGACCAAACAUAACUAUACAUAUCAUUUAUGCUUGUAAAACUGAAACUAAAUAAACAUAGAAUAUAGAGCAUGUGGAAACUGAAUGAAACUUUCAGUGUUUAACUAUUAGAAAAAGAAAUAUUACAUCUUAAGUAGAAUAUUCUGACGUACUGAUAACACAAAAAAUACCCCACUGUGUACUUGAAAUACUUGUUCUGAACAUGUCCUUAUCUUUGAAGAAUACUAUGACAGCUGAUGCAAAAACAUAUUCUAAACUAACAACAUGUUUUAGUCUACUUCAGUUCAUCUGAACUUCAUUAACCUAAACUUUUUAAUUAUAUCAUGAUCACAUCCUCAGAGGUCAACGCUCAAGUUCAGUUAGUUACUUCAGACUAAUUUGAGGCGAUGCCGUUGCUCAUUGUUCUUUCUCAAGGUGAUUAUCAGUUGCAAACUCAAUACACUUCUAUCUACAUUCAUUUAAAACACAUACACGAAUUCCCCCAGAGUGCUCACAGACAGACAGUGCCUACCAGCAUCCUAAUAGAUUAGUGUUGUUCAUCUUUGUCAUUUACUUCAAUCUAAACCACUUACUCAAGGUUUUUUUUUUUCCAGCUCACCAAGCCAGAGGGAAAUAUGUAGUUUACCAGCAAAGGCAUGUCUUUGCACUAUAAUUAAGACCUAAUAAGAUCAAGAACAAUCACAAAGUGUAUUUU